RNAcentral lists this ribosomal RNA (451 nucleotides) under uncultured bacterium. RNAcentral's name for it is "bacterial SSU rRNA". It matches the Rfam family "Bacterial small subunit ribosomal RNA", at positions 29 to 524 of the family's 1533-position model. The record is from RNAcentral.
AACGAACGCUGGCGGCAUGCCUAACACAUGCAAGUCGAACGAGACCUUCGGGUCUAGUGGCGCACGGGUGCGUAACGCGUGGGAAUCUGCCCUUGGGUUCGGAAUAACAGCGAGAAAUUGCUGCUAAUACCGGAUGAUGACGUAAGUCCAAAGAUUUAUCGCCCAAGGAUGAGCCCGCGUAGGAUUAGCUAGUUGGUGAGGUAAAGGCUCACCAAGGCGACGAUCCUUAGCUGGUCUGAGAGGAUGAUCAGCCACACUGGGACUGAGACACGGCCCAGACUCCUACGGGAGGCAGCAGUGGGGAAUAUUGGACAAUGGGCGAAAGCCUGAUCCAGCAAUGCCGCGUGAGUGAUGAAGGCCUUAGGGUUGUAAAGCUCUUUCGUGGGGGGAAGAUAAUGACGGUACCCCAAGAAGAAGCCCCGGCUAACUCCGUGCCAGCAGCCGCGGUAAU